GCUGCAGGAAUUCCCAAUACUAUCGGUACGGGUUGUGGGAGCAAGAGCCCGGAGAUGGAUUCUGAGACACGAAUCCAGGCCCUACGGGGCGCAGCAGGCGCGAAAACUUUACAAUGCAGGCAACUGUGAUAAGGGAACCCCGAGUGCCCGUAUGGACGGGCUGUUCAGGUGCUUAAAAACCACCUGGAGAAAGGGCCGGGCAAGACCGGUGCCAGCCGCCGCGGUAAUACCGGCGGCUCGAGUGGUGGCCACUAUUACUGGGCUUAAAGCGUCCGUAGCUUGGUCGUUAAGCCUCUGGGGAAAUCUUCCGGCUUAACCGGAAGGCGUCUCAGGGGAACUGGCGACCUAGGGAUCGGGAGAGGUGAGAGGUACUCUGGGGGUAGGAGUGAAAUCCUGUAAUCCUCAGGGGACCACCUGUGGCGAAGGCGUCUCACCAGAACGACUCCGACAGUGAGGGACGAAAGCUGGGGGAGCAAACCGGAUUAGAUACCCGGGUAGUCCCAGCCGUAAA
This 511-nucleotide ribosomal RNA is filed under the name uncultured Methanofollis sp. RNAcentral describes it as "bacterial SSU rRNA". It matches the Rfam family "Archaeal small subunit ribosomal RNA", at positions 244 to 757 of the family's 1478-position model. The record is from RNAcentral. Lineage: Archaea; Methanobacteriati; Methanobacteriota; Methanomicrobia; Methanomicrobiales; Methanomicrobiaceae.